UAGAGGGUGCUCGAAAGAGAGCCGUAACACAGGUGCUGCAUGGCUGUCGUCAGCUCGUGUCGUGAGAUGUUGGGUUAAGUCCCGCAACGAGCGCAACCCUUGUCAUUAGUUGCUACAUUCAGUUGGGCACUCUAAUGAGACUGCCGGUGACAAGCCGGAGGAAGGUGGGGAUGACGUCAAGUCCUCAUGGCCCUUAUAGGUGGGGCUACACACGUCAUACAAUGGCUGGUACAAAGGGUUGCCAACCCGCGAGGGGGGAGCCAAUCCCAUAAAGCCAGUCGUAGUCCGGAUCGUAGUCUGCAACUCGACUACGUGAAGUCGGAAUCGCUAGUAAUCGUGGAUCAGAAUGUCACGGUGAAUACGUUCCCGGGUCUU
RNAcentral lists this ribosomal RNA (375 nucleotides) under uncultured Rhodoferax sp. RNAcentral's name for it is "bacterial SSU rRNA". It matches the Rfam family "Bacterial small subunit ribosomal RNA", at positions 1006 to 1382 of the family's 1533-position model. The record is from RNAcentral. Lineage: Bacteria; Pseudomonadati; Pseudomonadota; Betaproteobacteria; Burkholderiales; Comamonadaceae.